Molecule: long non-coding RNA, 815 nt
Organism: Microtus ochrogaster (prairie vole)
Lineage: Eukaryota; Metazoa; Chordata; Mammalia; Rodentia; Cricetidae
Exons: 3
Source: RefSeq, a predicted model, not a curated record
UACAGGAUAUAAUAAUUCAUUAUGAAUUUUUAUAAUUGUACCAGGUCUGAUUAAUUUACCGUGCUGAAAGCCUUCGAAGAUGAGUAUGGAAUCUGCAAAUUUUAAUUCCAGGUUGUAACCAAUGAUGUAAUCCCACUUAUAAACGAAGACCAUUUCCAAAGCUUAUUGGCUUUCUAUCAUCCAUACACACUUUGGGCACCACUCUACCCUGGAUACCCGAAAGUCAACAGAAUCCCCAGAGGGGGAGUGAGAAUAGAUGGGACAAGAGACACCGGAGAUGGAGACAAGACAGGAUUCUAUCAAGUCUUGUUUAUUCAAGAGAAUAAUCCAGGCAUAAAGUCCCUAACUGCAACACGAAGAAAAGUCAGAAUGUUCAAACCAUGGGAACAAUGGAGCAAUAAAUCCGUGCAGAGUUAGGAUGUGAGCGAUCAGAACAGCAUGAGGAGCCAAACACAGCAGGAUGUGCAAAACUGAAUCAGGGAGCAGUAAGUAUCCCACAAAAUUAUUAUAUUUUAUUGUGUAGAUAUGAUUUUAUACACCAGUAUCCCAUACUGAAUACACACUGUUGUGAUUUUAUAGAACCGAUUUAACAUUGACUUUUCUAAUACAAAGGCCUAUCAACAUUACUGUACAGUAGAAAAUAAUUAUUUUUUCUUAGCCUCCUACAUUUGUUAGUGGUUUUCUCCUAAUUGUGUUAAUUGUAGAGAGUUUUCCAUCUUUUUGACAUGCCAUGGAGGGAUGUCAUUAUGCUAAGCAUUUUCAUUGUUUCUUUGCUUUCAUUUAUUUUAAUGGGCAUUUAAGAUUUAUAUAAUUUU